CCCUUAGAUGUUCUGGGCCGCACGCGCGCUACAAUGAUGAAUUCAACGAGUUUAUAACCUUGGCCGAGAGGCCUGGGCAAUCUUGUUAACGUGCAUCGUGAUAGGGAUAGAUUAUUGAAAUUAUUAAUCUUGAACGAGGAAUUCCUAGUAAACGCAGAUCAUCAAUCUGCAUUGAUUACGUCCCUGCCCUUUGUACACACCGCCCGUCGCACCUACCGAUUGGAUGGUCCGGUGAAGCCUCGGGAUUGUGGUUCUUGCCGCUUUAUUGUGGCGUGACCGCGAGAACUUGUCUAAACCUUAUCAUCUAGAGGAAGGUGAAGUCGUAACA
Molecule: ribosomal RNA, 328 nt
Filed under: uncultured eukaryote
Lineage: Eukaryota
Description: partial 18S ribosomal RNA
Rfam family: Eukaryotic small subunit ribosomal RNA
Source: RNAcentral